Molecule: non-coding RNA, 156 nt
Filed under: Astrosyne radiata
Lineage: Eukaryota; Bacillariophyta; Fragilariophyceae; Cyclophorales; Cyclophoraceae
Source: RNAcentral
GUGUGUGUGUUUAUGAUUCUUCUAUCGUCCUUUCUUUUUCUUUUCUUUUUCUUUCAGUACGUAUGGCGUCCUUUUUGUUGUCGUGUUCCAAAAUGCGUGUAUUCAGAAUCUGCAAAAACAAUACAGUUUGGUGUUUCCUGGACGAAAAAGAAGAAA